UUACAGAAAAAGCCUGGGAAAUAUGAUGCUUUUGUUCACUGAAACAUGAAAUGUCAUUAUAAGAUGCCCUCCAAACCUGAAGAGAAAGUCCUGCAGGAAAUCAAAGGUUGGAAUUAAAUGACAUGCAGGCUUUGUGACAAGGCUAAACUGUUGCUACUAACAAAGCAAAAGAAGCAAAGAUGCAUGGUG
Dermochelys coriacea (leatherback sea turtle) is the source of this 189-nucleotide long non-coding RNA. RefSeq lists it as uncharacterized. The record is from RefSeq and is a predicted model, not a curated record. NCBI's taxonomy places the organism in Eukaryota, Metazoa, Chordata, Testudines, Dermochelyidae. The transcript has 3 exons.